RNAcentral lists this ribosomal RNA (423 nucleotides) under uncultured bacterium. RNAcentral describes it as "bacterial SSU rRNA". It matches the Rfam family "Bacterial small subunit ribosomal RNA", at positions 954 to 1378 of the family's 1533-position model. The record is from RNAcentral.
UGGGAACGCGAAGAACCUUACCUAGACUUGACAUCUCCUGAAUUACCCUUAAUCGGGGAAGCCCUUCGGGGCAGGAAGACAGGUGGUGCAUGGUUGUCGUCAGCUCGUGUCGUGAGAUGUUGGGUUAAGUCCCGCAACGAGCGCGACCCUUAUUGUUAGUUGCUACCAUUUAGUUGAGCACUCUAGCGAGACUGCCUGGGUUAACCGGGAGGAAGGUGGGGAUGACGUCAAAUCAUCAUGCCCCGUUAUGUCUAGGGCUACACACGUGCUACAAUGGCUGGUACAGAGAGAUGCUAAACCGUGAGGUGGGGUCCAAACCUUUAAAACCAGUCUCAGUUCGGAUUGUAGGCUGAAACUCGCCUACAUGAAGCUGGAGUUGCUAGUAAUCGCGGAUCAGCAUGCCGCGGUGAAUACGUUCCCGGG